UGGGAUGUAACUUGGUUGGUAGAGUGCUUGCCUAGUAUGCAUGAAGCCCUGGGUGCCAUUCCCAGCACCACAU
RNAcentral lists this transfer RNA (73 nucleotides) under Neotoma lepida (desert woodrat). It matches the Rfam family "tRNA". Rfam says of the family: Transfer RNA (tRNA) molecules are approximately 80 nucleotides in length. Their secondary structure includes four short double-helical elements and three loops (D, anti-codon, and T loops). The record is from Rfam by way of RNAcentral. Lineage: Eukaryota; Metazoa; Chordata; Mammalia; Rodentia; Cricetidae.